GUUAGCUUGACGUAGAGACGAAUCACCCGCUCAUUGCCUUUACCGACAUAAUGCUCUCGCAGUAUCUUCAAUGCUUUCCUCCCGUCGUCCGCCGCUUCUCUCGUAACCAGCGACAGGCUUGUGUGGUCUAAAAGCGCGGUGGCUUUGAGGCCGAGCAGACGCAAGUGCCCCAGAAACUUGGCUUCCCACAGCUCGUAAUUCUUCUCAUUUCCAUCGAAGCAUAAUCGAUGCUGUCGGCCUCCGACUUCUCUUGUGGCCAUAUAUCGUGUUGUUGUCAUCAUUUUAAAGGCCAGACGCAUCAUAGACGUAAUGCUGCCAUCCACAGGUUUCUAUCAGAGUUUUUCAGCACCGCCAGCCUUUUGAAGGUCGGGUCGCGGGGGCAGCAGCCUAAGCAGGGAACCCCAGACUUCCCUCUCCCCAGCUACUUCGUCCAGCUCCUCCCGGGGGAUACCAAGGCGAUCCCAGGCCAGCCGGG
Molecule: long non-coding RNA, 475 nt
Organism: Nerophis lumbriciformis (worm pipefish)
Lineage: Eukaryota; Metazoa; Chordata; Actinopteri; Syngnathiformes; Syngnathidae
Source: RefSeq, a predicted model, not a curated record